UGAGUACGAGAUGCUACGGCAUCGAAGCAGUCUAUGUCAUACUUCCAAGAAAAGCUUGCAAUGUCAUAAACAAAUAAUGCCUGUACCAUAACCGACACAGGUGGGUAGGUAGAGUAUACUAAGGGGCGCGAGAUAACUCUCUCUAAGGAACUCGGCAAAAUGACUCCGUAACUUCGGGAGAAGGAGUGCCUUAUUUUUAUAAGGUUGCAAUAACAAGAUCCAAGCAACUGUUUACCAAAAACACAGGUCUCCGCUAAGUCGUAAGACGAUGUAUGGGGGCUGACGCCUGCCCAGUGCCAGAAGGUUAAAGAAGUUGGUUAGCAUUAGCGAAGCUGAUAACUGAAGCCCUGGUGAACGGCGGCCGUAACAAUAACGGUCCUAAGGUAGCGAAAUUCCUUGUCGGGUAAGUUCCGACCCGCACGAAAAGCGUAAUGAUUUGGAUACUGUCUCGGAGAGGGGCUCGGUGAAAUAGACUUGUCUGUGAAGAUGCGGACUACCUGCACCUGGACAGAAAGACCCUAUGAAGCUUUACUGUAACUUGAGAUUGAAAUUGGACUUUAUCUGCGCAGUAUAGGUGGGAGACGUUGAAAAUAUUCUUGCGGGAAUAUUGGAGUCAUCAGUGAGAUACCACUCUUAUAAUGUUAGAUUUCUAACUUUGUAUCAUUAUCUGGUCAAAGAACAGUUUCAGGCGGGCAGUUUGACUGGGGCGGUCGCCUCCCAAACGGUAACGGAGGCGCACAAAGGUUUCCUCUGAACGUGUAGAAAUCGUAUCUAGAGUGUAAAGGCAUAAGGAAGCUUGACUGUGAGACCUACAAGUCGAGCAGGGACGAAAGUCGGUCUUAGUGAUCUGACGGUGCUGAGUGGAAAGGCCGUCACUCAACGGAUAAAAGUUACUCUAAGGAUAACAGGCUGAUCUCCCCCAAGAGUUCACAUCGACGGGGAGGUUUGGCACCUCGAUGUCGGCUCAUCGCGUCCUGGGGCGGUAGUACGUCCCAAGGGUUGGGCUGUUCGCCCAUGAAAGCGGUACGCGAGCUGGGUUCAGAACGUCGUGAGACAGUUCGGUCCAUAUCCGGUGUAGGCGUUAGAAUAUUGAGAGGAGCCUUCUUUAGUACGAGAGGACCGAGAAGGACAUACCUCUGGUGUACCAGUUAUCGUGCCAACGGUAAACGCUGGGUAGCCAUGUAUGGAGAGGAUAACCGCUGAAAGCAUCUAAGUGGGAAGCCCACCUCAAGAUAAG
This 1237-nucleotide ribosomal RNA is filed under the name metagenome. RNAcentral describes it as "bacterial LSU rRNA". It matches the Rfam family "Bacterial large subunit ribosomal RNA", at positions 1564 to 2808 of the family's 2925-position model. The record is from RNAcentral.